UACGUAGGGCGCAAGCGUUAUCCGGAAUUAUUGGGCGUAAAGAGCUCGUAGGCGGCCUGUUGCGUCCGCUGUGAAAUCCCGGGGCUUAACCCCGGGCGUGCAGUGGAUACGGGCAGGCUGGAGGCAGGCAGGGGAGAACGGAAUUCCCGGUGUAGCGGUGAAAUGCGCAGAUAUCGGGAGGAACACCGGUGGCGAAGGCGGUUCUCUGGGCCUGUACUGACGCUGAGGAGCGAAAGCGUGGGGAGCGAACAGG
Molecule: ribosomal RNA, 253 nt
Filed under: uncultured bacterium
Lineage: Bacteria
Description: partial 16S ribosomal RNA
Rfam family: Bacterial small subunit ribosomal RNA
Source: RNAcentral